Acanthosepion pharaonis is the source of this 112-nucleotide non-coding RNA. NCBI's taxonomy places the organism in Eukaryota, Metazoa, Mollusca, Cephalopoda, Sepiida, Sepiidae. The record is from the annotation of a GenBank genome assembly.
AUGACCAUAUCAUGUUGAAACACUGGUUCUCAUCUGAUCAUCAAAGUUAAGCAAUAUUGAACCUGGUCAGUACCUAGAUGGAUAACUGCUUGGGAAUAUCAAGUGCUGUAAG